Molecule: long non-coding RNA, 1277 nt
Filed under: Malus domestica (apple)
Lineage: Eukaryota; Viridiplantae; Streptophyta; Magnoliopsida; Rosales; Rosaceae
Description: long non-coding RNA (MDOM_LNC015989)
Source: RNAcentral
ACUGCGCUACAGUAUCUCAUGGGCGAGAAGCGUAUAGCUAGUUAAUAAUGCAGGUAGGGCAUGAGACUUCGACUCGUCUACUAGCGAGGAUGCGGAUUGGGAUACAAAUUUGACUUUAAAAUCUUCAUGUCUACGUUAGCCACCGCAGAUGUUGAGGUAGAAAGCAUGAGCUUGAUGUAUAAUAAUGCAACUAUGGGGGACCAUAGUUUUCUGUACUUAAUACAUAAUUUUACACUUGAUAAGAAUAAAUUAAGAAAGCUUAUAAGUUCUCACAAGUACAAAUUGAUAAAUUUAAUAGGAAUAAUUUUAUUGGGUUUACUUAUGAUUUAAAUGUUAAGUAAUACAAGUCAAAACAUGAAAAAUAUUACGUAUAAUGGUCCAUAGCUUACCUCCUGAUAGUAGUGCUACCUUCUUAAAACUAUGAUUUGUCUUUUGAAAAAGAAUCUUGCAACUAGAUUGAUCAAAAGCAUAGACAUUUGUUUGGUUUGUUUGUGGUGAUUCAUAUUUAUUGUUUUGUAAUAAAGAAAAUAAAUUUCAAUACAGAGAAUUAUGUGUAUUGGAUAAUAAAUAGCAUAUUAUAUAUAUGGAUCUGAUCCGUGGCAUUAUAUUUUUUACACAAAUUUUGACAUACAUUUUUGUGGAGCUAUUAUUGACAAUAUCAUUUAGGACAUCACCCACAAGUCAUCCUUGCAAAAAAAAAAAUAUUAGUACAUCGAUAUUUUUACACUAAGAGAAGGGGGAGUUCAGUUAAGCCACAUAAUGAGCAGUCUAAUUUGGUAUCGAAUUCGCCAUCCACGAGAUUCGAACCUAAGACCUCUCACUUCCAAGUGAAGAGGAAUACCCAUUUUCAGUGGUUCCGACUUGUAUGUAGUGUAGUGCCGUAUAGGUCACUAGAGGUGACUCCGGCUUAUGUGCUAGCAAUGAUUGAUGAGCUAUGAUUUAGUCAUACAUGUCACUAGAGGUGACUCCAACUUAUAUGCUAGCCAUGAUUGAUGAGAUACGUGAUAAGAUAUGAAUAUGUCGUAUAGGUCACUAGAGGUGACUCCGACUUAUAUGCUAGCCAUGAUUGAUGAGAUACAUGAUGAGAUAUGAAUACGUCGUGUAGGUCACUAGAGGUGACUCCAACUUAGGUGCUAGCCUAUAUGUGAUGAAAUGCUAGCAUAUAUAUUUAUGAUGGGAUAUGUAAUGAAAUGCUAGCAUAUAUAAUGACUAUAUGUGAUGAGCUAGUAUAUGUGGUGAAUACGUGAUGAGCUAGCAGACGUGAUGAAUAUGCGAUA